RNAcentral lists this long non-coding RNA (688 nucleotides) under Olea europaea (common olive). Its description in RNAcentral is "long non-coding RNA (OEUR_LNC009493)". Lineage: Eukaryota; Viridiplantae; Streptophyta; Magnoliopsida; Lamiales; Oleaceae. The record is from RNAcentral.
AAAUACCCACUCCCACACGUUUUUUUAUGAAUAUGACUACAUGUGUAUGGAAUGAACCGCACGAGAAUCGAGACACAAAAAUAUAUUGGUGCACGCACACAUUGUUAAUAGAGGCAGAAAAAGAAAGGAGAAACGAACGUGAUUUUUCUUUUGUCUUCAUAUUAAAGCAGUUCAACAAGGUAGGAUAUAGAGGUGCAGUGUAUUUUUUUAAAAUCCCCAUUUAAAUUUGUUUUCAUGCUGAUGAACUUUAUACUCAUGAAAUUUAAAGUUAUGAUAUGAUAUGAAUGAUAUGGUCAUUCCGGAACAACAAUAUGAUAUGAGCUUACCGAAUUUUAAAGAUAUGAGACGGUAUGAUUUUCUGAUACAUGUUUUAAAAUUAUCAUACGGGAUCGCAUCAUUAAUUUUAUAUCAUACUGAGUAUUUUUAUGUACUCACCAUUUUCCCUACUCCUCACAGAUUAGAAUGAGUCGUUGGUUGGCGGGCGAUGCAGUGGAGUUGUGAUGCCAGAAAUUAUGGAAUUCAAAAUAAAUUAAUUCUGAGUAACAUGACUAGGAAAUUUUAUUUAUUUAUUUUCUUGCGUUAUUUCAGUUUUAUUUUCAUGUUAAAUUUGAAAUUUAAUAUUUGGAACAUGGUUCAGUUAAUUAUGUUUUCCAUAGACUUUAGUUAUUGUAUAGAUGGAACUAGAAAG